Molecule: ribosomal RNA, 1486 nt
Filed under: metagenome
Description: bacterial SSU rRNA
Rfam family: Bacterial small subunit ribosomal RNA
Source: RNAcentral
AGAGUUUGAUCCUGGCUCAGGAUGAACGCUAGCUACAGGCUUAACACAUGCAAGUCGAGGGGCAGCAUGGUCUUAGCUUGCUAAGGCCGAUGGCGACCGGCGCACGGGUGAGUAACACGUAUCCAACCUGCCGUCUACUCUUGGACAGCCUUCUGAAAGGAAGAUUAAUACAAGAUGGCAUCAUGAGUCCGCAUGUUCACAUGAUUAAAGGUAUUCCGGUAGACGAUGGGGAUGCGUUCCAUUAGAUAGUAGGCGGGGUAACGGCCCACCUAGUCUUCGAUGGAUAGGGGUUCUGAGAGGAAGGUCCCCCACAUUGGAACUGAGACACGGUCCAAACUCCUACGGGAGGCAGCAGUGAGGAAUAUUGGUCAAUGGGCGAGAGCCUGAACCAGCCAAGUAGCGUGAAGGAUGACUGCCCUAUGGGUUGUAAACUUCUUUUAUAAAGGAAUAAAGUCGGGUAUGCAUACCCGUUUGCAUGUACUUUAUGAAUAAGGAUCGGCUAACUCCGUGCCAGCAGCCGCGGUAAUACGGAGGAUCCGAGCGUUAUCCGGAUUUAUUGGGUUUAAAGGGAGCGUAGAUGGAUGUUUAAGUCAGUUGUGAAAGUUUGCGGCUCAACCGUAAAAUUGCAGUUGAUACUGGAUAUCUUGAGUGCAGUUGAGGCAGGCGGAAUUCGUGGUGUAGCGGUGAAAUGCUUAGAUAUCACGAAGAACUCCGAUUGCGAAGGCAGCCUGCUAAGCUGCAACUGACAUUGAGGCUCGAAAGUGUGGGUAUCAAACAGGAUUAGAUACCCUGGUAGUCCACACGGUAAACGAUGAAUACUCGCUGUUUGCGAUAUACAGCAAGCGGCCAAGCGAAAGCGUUAAGUAUUCCACCUGGGGAGUACGCCGGCAACGGUGAAACUCAAAGGAAUUGACGGGGGCCCGCACAAGCGGAGGAACAUGUGGUUUAAUUCGAUGAUACGCGAGGAACCUUACCCGGGCUUAAAUUGCAGAUGAAUUACGGUGAAAGCCGUAAGCCGCAAGGCAUCUGUGAAGGUGCUGCAUGGUUGUCGUCAGCUCGUGCCGUGAGGUGUCGGCUUAAGUGCCAUAACGAGCGCAACCCUUGUUGUCAGUUACUAACAGGUCAUGCUGAGGACUCUGACAAGACUGCCAUCGUAAGAUGUGAGGAAGGUGGGGAUGACGUCAAAUCAGCACGGCCCUUACGUCCGGGGCUACACACGUGUUACAAUGGGGGGUACAGAGGGCCGCUACCACGCGAGUGGAUGCCAAUCCCCAAAACCUCUCUCAGUUCGGACUGGAGUCUGCAACCCGACUCCACGAAGCUGGAUUCGCUAGUAAUCGCGCAUCAGCCACGGCGCGGUGAAUACGUUCCCGGGCCUUGUACACACCGCCCGUCAAGCCAUGGGAGCCGGGGGUACCUGAAGUGCGUAACCGCGAGGAGCGCCCUAGGGUAAAACUGGUGACUGGGGCUAAGUCGUAACAAGGUA